This 496-nucleotide ribosomal RNA is filed under the name uncultured bacterium. Its description in RNAcentral is "partial 16S ribosomal RNA". It matches the Rfam family "Bacterial small subunit ribosomal RNA", at positions 28 to 507 of the family's 1533-position model. The record is from RNAcentral.
GAUGAACGCUGGCGGCGUGCCUAAUACAUGCGAGUCGAGCGAACAGACGAGGAGCUUGCUCCUCUGACGUUAGCGGCGGACGGGUGAGUAACACGUGGAUAACCUACCUAUAAGACUGGGAUAACUUCGGGAAACCGGAGCUAAUACCGGAUAAUAUAUUGAACCGCAUGGUUCAAUAGUGAAAGACGGUUUUGCUGUCACUUAUAGAUGGAUCCGCGCCGCAUUAGCUAGUUGGUAAGGUAACGGCUACCAAGGCAACGAUGCGUAGCCGACCUGAGAGGGUGAUCGGCCACACUGGAACUGAGACACGGUCCAGACUCCUACGGGAGGCAGCAGUAGGGAAUCUUCCGCAAUGGGCGAAAGCCUGACGGAGCAACGCCGCGUGAGUGAUGAAGGUCUUCGGAUCGUAAAACUCUGUUAUUAGGGAAGAACAAAUGUGUAAGUAACUAUGCACGUCUUGACGGUACCUAAUCAGAAAGCCACGGCUAACUACGUG